RNAcentral lists this ribosomal RNA (686 nucleotides) under uncultured bacterium. RNAcentral describes it as "bacterial SSU rRNA". It matches the Rfam family "Bacterial small subunit ribosomal RNA", at positions 32 to 715 of the family's 1533-position model. The record is from RNAcentral.
AACGCUAGCUACAGGCUUAACACAUGCAAGUCGAGGGGUAGCAGGGUAGCAAUACCGCUGACGACCGGCGCACGGGUGAGUAACACGUAUCCAACCUUCCCAUAACUCAGGGAUAGCCUUUCGAAAGAAAGAUUAAUACCUGAUAGCACUUAUAUAAGGCAUCUUAAAUAAGUUAAAGAUUUAUUGGUUAUGGAUGGGGAUGCGUUCCAUUAGAUAGUUGGUGAGGUAACGGCUCACCAAGUCUUCGAUGGAUAGGGGUUCUGAGAGGAAGGUCCCCCACAUUGGUACUGAGACACGGACCAAACUCCUACGGGAGGCAGCAGUGAGGAAUAUUGGUCAAUGGGCGAGAGCCUGAACCAGCCAAGUAGCGUGAAGGAUGAAGGUCCUAUGGAUUGUAAACUUCUUUUAUAGUAGAAUAAAGUGAGCCACGUGUGGUUUUUUGUAUGUAUACUAUGAAUAAGGAUCGGCUAACUCCGUGCCAGCAGCCGCGGUAAUACGGAGGAUCCGAGCGUUAUCCGGAUUUAUUGGGUUUAAAGGGUGCGUAGGCGGAAUAAUAAGUCAGUUGUGAAAGUUUGCGGCUCAACCGUAAAAUUGCAGUUGAUACUGUUAUUCUUGAGUGUACAUAAGGUAGGCGGAAUUCGUGGUGUAGCGGUGAAAUGCUUAGAUAUCACGAAGAACUCCGAUUG